RNAcentral lists this ribosomal RNA (253 nucleotides) under uncultured bacterium. RNAcentral describes it as "partial 16S ribosomal RNA". It matches the Rfam family "Bacterial small subunit ribosomal RNA", at positions 524 to 776 of the family's 1533-position model. The record is from RNAcentral.
UACGUAGGCAGCGAGCGUUGUUCGGAGUUACUGGGCGUAAAGAGUGCGUAGGCGGUUUUCUAAGUUUGGUGUGAAAUCUCCCGGCUUAACUGGGAGGGUGCGCCGAAGACUGGAAGGCUUGAGUAUGGGAGAGGUAAGCGGAAUUCCUGGUGUAGCGGUGAAAUGCGUAGAUAUCAGGAGGAACACCGGUGGCGAAGGCGGCAUCCUGGACCGGCAUUGACGCUGAGGCGCGAAAGCUAGGGGAGCAAACGGG